Small nuclear RNA from Equus asinus (donkey), 105 nucleotides. Lineage: Eukaryota; Metazoa; Chordata; Mammalia; Perissodactyla; Equidae. The record is from Ensembl.
GGGCACAUACUUUGCACAUGUACAUAAACUGAAAAGAGGAAAAGAAGCUCAACAUGGCCCUUGUCCAAGAGGGACAUGCAAAUUCGUGAAGCAAUUCAUAUUUCU